This 254-nucleotide ribosomal RNA is filed under the name uncultured bacterium. Its description in RNAcentral is "partial 16S ribosomal RNA". It matches the Rfam family "Bacterial small subunit ribosomal RNA", at positions 524 to 776 of the family's 1533-position model. The record is from RNAcentral.
AACGUAGGAGGCGAGCGUUAUCCGGAGUUACUGGGCGUAAAGCGCGUGUAGGCGGUUGCGCAGGUCCGAUGUGAAAGCUCCCAGGCUAAACCGGGAGAGGUCAUUGGAAACCACGCGGCUAGAGGUCGGUAGAGGGACAUGGAAUUCCGGGUGUAGUGGUGAAAUGCGUAGAGAUCCGGAGGAACACCAGAAGCGAAGGCGGUGUCCUGGGCCGAAACUGACGCUGAGACGCGAAAGCAUGGGUAGCGAACGGG